GAUGAACGCUGGCGGCGUGCCUAAUACAUGCAAGUCGAGCGAACAGACGAGGAGCUUGCUCCUCUGACGUUAGCGGCGGACGGGUGAGUAACACGUGGAUAACCUACCUAUAAGACUGGGAUAACUUCGGGAAACCGGAGCUAAUACCGGAUAAUAUAUUGAACCGCAUGGUUCAACAGUGAAAGACGGUUUUGCUGUCACUUAUAGAUGGAUCCGCGCCGCAUUAGCUAGUUGGUAAGGUAACGGCUUACCAAGGCAACGAUGCGUAGCCGACCUGAGAGGGUGAUCGGCCACACUGGAACUGAGACACGGUCCAGACUCCUACGGGAGGCAGCAGUAGGGAAUCUUCCGCAAUGGGCGAAAGCUUGACGGAGCAACGCCGCGUGAGUGAUGAAGGUCUUCGGAUCGUAAAACUCUGUUAUUAGGGAAGAACAAAUGUGUAAGUAACUAUGCACGUCUUGACGGUACCUAAUCAGAAAGCCACGGCUAACUACGUG
RNAcentral lists this ribosomal RNA (497 nucleotides) under uncultured bacterium. RNAcentral describes it as "partial 16S ribosomal RNA". It matches the Rfam family "Bacterial small subunit ribosomal RNA", at positions 28 to 507 of the family's 1533-position model. The record is from RNAcentral.